RNAcentral lists this long non-coding RNA (4431 nucleotides) under Bemisia tabaci. Its description in RNAcentral is "lncRNA ENSSSA1UGG005468". Lineage: Eukaryota; Metazoa; Arthropoda; Insecta; Hemiptera; Aleyrodidae. The record is from RNAcentral.
AUUAAUGCUAGCAUAUGUGUAUCGGUUCAGGUUCAGCCGUUGUUCUUGUCAAUAAUUAAUUGUUGAUGGAGAAUCGUAAACCUAAGCAAGUGCUGCCGUACUACGAAUGCUCUCAGCGAACAAAAUACAGACGGAUACAAAAUGGAUUGAAAGUUGCCAUCAGAAGUGACAGAGGACUGCCUGAAGUGGAGGUUUUGGAUUAACGAUACAGAUAAUGUGGUGUGUAGCUAUUUUUUGCGAUGAUGGUGAUAUCAGGAUCGUAUGUCAAAAAUGGCUUGUCGAAUCUACAAAAGGCAAUGUCCGAUGUUGGUAUCCAACUGCUAUUGAUGGCAACAAAUUGAACCGUCUGUUGGCGGAAAACACAGGUCCUGAUCAAGAGAACUGGGAAAUGGUAGCAAUUGAAAUCCUAAAGGACAAUAUAGGAACCCUCAUCGAUGCUCGAAAAAUAGCUAAAAAAGCUGAGGAUGAAGAAACAAGCUUAUCCCUCACUGAACCGGAAAACAUGGGUCGGGGGCGAAGAAAGAAGAAGAGCAGCCAAAGGUUCUUGUCUCCUUCUUCUAGUGAUGAAGAAAACCCUCCCCCACUAUCAACAGUUUCGAAGAGGUCUCGACUACAAGAGGAGCCACCUCGAUCACUCUUAAGGAUACAAUCCCUUAAGUGGCCUACCAGUUGUAUUGAUAAAGCUGGUAGACUACCAUUUUCAGAUCUAAAUCAAAUUAGUAGACCGCAAGGUGUUGCAUCUUCAACUCAGAAACCACCCCCCUCCUCUAGUAAUGCUCCCAAGACUACCCACAAGACUGGUACACCCCAGCCUCCGAGCCAUUUUCAAAAUUCCAAUCAAGUGAAGGGCUUCGCUGCCUCAACUCAGAAGCCAACCCCCUCCUCCAGUUAUGCUGCCAGAACUACUGAUAAGACCGGUACAUCCCAGCCUCCAAGCCAAUUUCAAAAUUCCUAUAAAGUACAGGGUUUUGCUGCUUCAACUCAGAAGCCACCCCCCUCCUCUAGUAAUGCUCCCAAGACUACCCACAAGACUGGUACACCCCAGCCUCCGAGCCAUUUUCAAAAUUCCAAUCAAGUGAAGGGCUUCGCUGCCUCAACUCAGAAGCCAACCCCCUCCUCCAGUCAUGCUGCCACGACCACUGAUAAGACUGGUCCUGUACCGAUCACCAGUCGAAGGAAAAAUUAUCCAAAAGUGCAGAUUCCUAAUGCUUCUCAAAGCCACAUUAAAAUGUCUAAAACAUCAACCCAUUCAAGUGCUGCACAUUAUGCACCGCCUCCAAGCACUAAUUUUGAUCCACGGGUUCAGGUUGACAAAACCUCUGCAGGUGAAAUUAUUCAAAAACUCGAAAAUUUCCAAGAACAAUUGAAUCGGAUUGAGAAGAUUACUGUGCAGACAGCCUCAAAGGUAGUUGUACUGAGCAAUGUAAGUGGGGACGUGCCCACAGCUCUGAUAGAAAUUCAAUCAAAGCUGUCAGAUCUUCUGUUAGUCGAAAAUCAUAGGCUGAGAGAUGAAAUCCUGCAAUAUUUACCGAUCAAUGAUGAUACGGCUCUGAAUGAAUUUGAAGCCAAGCUAAUAGACCCGAAAUUUCGCUCUGCUUUUAUAAAGUUUAUGGCUACCAAAGGCAGCACUAAAAAUGUGUCGCUAUGUGUAAAGAAGCUAAUGAAGGAGUUGUUAGUGGAUACGUUCGCCAUCAAUUACUGCAUGACGGGUCACCUUGGAAAAAAGCCUUUUAUGGAUAACAGAAACCUUUUUGAAUCAAUAGCAGCCGCCACAAGAAGUUUUCACCCUUCAGCUACUGAUGACGAUAUAAAACUCUAUGCCUCACAAUGGCUGACAAAAGCAAAAGAAAGAAUAAACUCCAAAGCGAAAUCACACUCUUCCUUGGAAAAUAAUCAGUCAGAGGCAGAAAACGCUGUAAAUGAGCAAAACUCAGAAGAAUCCAUCAUACUCCAAGAAGACUUAUCUCAAAAUAACUCAAGACUUUCGCCUGAAUACUCUGCUCCUAAUAACCUCAGACAUGCGCCUGAAGAUUCCUCGUCAAAUGUUGCUGCAUGUGAUCUAGGUUUGCCUGAUUUCUCACAAAUUUGGGCCGGAAGUUAUGAUGAUGCAUCUGCUAGCGAACUUGUUGGUGAGGAAAGAUAUGAUGGGGAGAAUGAACGUGAUGAGAGGGAUAGAGAAGAACUUGAUGAUGCAGAAACAUAUUUCGAACGUGAUGAGAGGGAUAGAGAAGAACUUGAUGAUGAAGAAACAUAUUUCAGCGGGGGCACUGAUUUUGUUGACAUGUUUCGUUGAUUUUUUGUGUCCUUUCCUUUUUACAUUAUUUUAAUAUUUAAUGCUACAGGUGAUACUAUCUAUUAACUUUUUUUAGUCCCUGCUCUUUUCUUACUUCCCUUUCAUAGUUAUUAGUAUGGAAAUCUAGUUCAAAUUGGUACUUUCUCAACAAUUUUGUGUUAACUGCUAUUUACUAGUUAUUAUUAUGAAAAAAAUUAAGUUCUACCAGUGUUCUCUCCAUUUGUUUUGUCACUGAUUGUAUUUUGUAAUUUCUUUAAUAUUUACUUCUAAUGAGUCAAACUUUCAUAACUAAGACUGAGAAAAGUUUCGAAGGGACUUUACUUUGUAAUUAACUUGAACCUGAAUGAGAGAGUUUAGCUGCUCUCUUCUAUUGUUGUCAUUUUAAUUUUCAUUUAUUUUUCACUUUUUAAAGUCAUUAUGCACCGCUGUUUUUCUAUAAAGGGGACUCGUCAAGGCUCUCUUUCAAUGAAGGCAAAUUCCAAAAGUUACCUUAGGCUUUUUUCCAUUUCUGUGUGCCAUCCGGUGUACGGAGAUGAAAAGUUAACAUUAAUACAGGGCGUAAUACUGAAAACUUGUUUUCAAGGUAUUUGAUAUCUUAUGCCAGUAAUUUGUUUUUUUAUCAUUCCUUCUUUUUUUGGACUUGACUGUAUGCCCACUAUGUGCCUAUUGCCCAUAGCCCACUUACUUUGAGCUCUCCUUUGAGCAUAGAAGUUUUUAGUCCGACUGAAUUUUUUAUAUUUUGUCACUUACCUCACUAUGUAUCUUUAGUUUUCAAAUUUCUAUUUUUCCUUUUUGUUUCGUCCCCACUGUUUUGUUUGUUUAAUUUAAGUUUAGUUUUGUUUGGGUGAUUAAAUUGGUUCUACGCGCAUAAAUUUGGGUCACCUGCCUUUUCUUGUUAUUAGUAUUAGUUUAAAUUUAGUUGAAAUUGGUACUAAUGUUGAAAAUUCUGCGUUACCUUCUUCUAUUUAUCAAUAUGAAAAUUAAGUACCUCCAGUGUUCUCCCCAUUAUUUUGUCGCUUAUUGUAUUCAGUUACUUCUUUACUAUUAACUUCUUGUAAUUCUAACUGUCAUAACUAAGAUUAACAUUUUGAGACUGAGAAAAGUGUCCCAAGAGACUUCUCAUUGUUUAUAAUAUGGUCUGAAACCUGACAGAAGAAGUUAAAUGGUAUUUUUAUUUUAAUUUCUUACCUUAGGCAUACUUAAUCAUUUCUAUGUGUAACCAAUAAAUGCAAGUAUUUUUCCGCAGAUGAUUGUAUCUGUUCGUUUAUUUGCUUUACUUCCAUCUAUCUUGCCCAAGUUGCGUACUGGUAACCCCAUUGCAAUGUUUCACAAUUGUUCUCAACAUUUGGAGCUUACUCACUGUAAAAGUUUCUGUUUAUUUCCUGUUAUUUUAACUUCCUAAACAAGAACAUUGAAAAUUUGUGUCAAAAUUGCACAUUGACUUCCAGAUUUUUAUAAUUUAUAUGAUGGUUGAAUUUAUGAGACUAAAAAUCAGAUUUUGCACUCCAUUGCCAUUUUAUUUACUGGUGGAUUUGGCUUCCUCUCGUGGAAACUAUUUUAUAUUUAUAUUCUCAGAAUAUUCUUCUCAGGAAUAUUCUGAGGAUAUUCUCUGAGUAUUCUAUUUAGUGCCACGAGAAUGUGCACAGAACAUUCUGAGAAUAUUCGAUGCAUCAGUAGAUCAUUCUCAGAAUAUUCUCAGAACAUUCCAUUUUUCCGUAGAAUAUUCCUGAAAUAGUUCUAGAAUAUUCUAUUUUUCAAUAGAAUAUUCUUAGAGUAUUCUCAGAUUAUCUCCUUGCACAGGGGGGUACAUACAGAAUUUGGAGGCUGUGAGAACUGUGAGACUCGAUUUGAAGAAAACCGCCCCUAUCAGGAAUAACCCUAGGAUAUUCUUAGCAGAAACCGUGUGCAGCAUAUUCCAAAUAUGUUCUCAACGUUUUCAAACAAAGUGCUUAGAAUAUCCUCAGAACAUUCUCAGCAUAUUCAAAAUUGCAGCAGAUUGGCGGAACAUUCUCAACAUAAUGUUUGCACAGGGGGGGGCGGCAAAUUUCGGAUGUUUUGGGGGUUUUUAUAGAGAAAGGGGGAGUUUAUGUUUCAUUUUCGCCUUUUACGUGUCACAAAUCUUCAUUCCUUGAAAUACG